AACCCUAUUCAAACCCAUCACUCUGGUCAAUCAACUAGUCUUAUCCGCUCCCUCAUCCUCUUCCCCCAAAUCCCUCCUCCCACUCCCCUUCCCCCAAAUCCCUCCCUCUCAAUCCCGUUGCUCUCCAUAGAGGAAUCACCGCCGCCGACCUCCUCACGCUUAUGGCGACCUCGAGCGGUUCCACACUGCAGCCAAAUUAGACUGGAACGGUGGAUCCAAGCCCUUCCAAUCUCAUCUGUUCUUCACCGACUUGAGGAGGAACUUGACGUGGGGAGGGAGACGAGCAGGAGCGCCGCGCCCAUGGCCGCGAUGAAUGAGGCCCAGGGGCCGUCUGAGUGGCAGUGAAAAAGGUCGGCGGAAGAUCGGUUUGUGGCAACGGACGGUGGGAGGCGGUGGGAUCGUGGGAGGAGCAGGUGGACACAUGUAAUCGCCGGUGGAAAUCUAGCAAGCGGCAGAAGAGCGCAGCGGGCGGUGCUGGCCUAAUGCCCACAGGGAAAGAGAAGCCCAUGGUUCCGGCGCGUGGUGCCGUGGUGGGGUCGCGCUGCUGCUGCUAGGACUGUGGUGCUUCCUUCCAAAGAGCCUCUUGCGGCUAUCUCAUAACAAAGAGCGUCGGCAGAACCGUCUGCCUUCAUCACGCACUUCAGUGCAGCCACGAGCAGGAACACCAGUGGCUACCACUAUGCAGAAGCUAUCGGCCAUGAACAGAUAAAUGGUGACGGUUCCGGACAAUCUCGCCUGGGAGCUUGUCAAGAGGAACAUUUGUUUCCUAAUGUAGCAGUUCAGCAAGAGUAAUGCCAAGGUUCUGUUCAGUCAGGAAGCCUAACAAGUUUUACAUUGUCCACUCUGACAAGCACUCUGGUUAGUAGUUGUUGCUAUCUCUUGGUCAGUUGAAUUAUGGAUGUCUCGCCAUUGGCAGAUCUGUUUGGUGGUUGGUGUGUUUUUCAGUCCUGGUAAACAAGAAGACUGACGGCACAUAGCUAACUACUGAUAAGGAGAUGGCAUUGAGUGGAGCCAUGGUCCAAUCGAACCCACACUCCACGCUUGUCCUUCUUUCGUCUCUUGAGUCUUGACAACCAAGACAUGGAAGAAGGACAAGUCUGUCGCGUUCCCCCAGAAUACUGUCAUGCACAGGGAGUUCUGCUAGAUGGCCAAGGCUGUCAAGAACUAGGAUGAGUUUGGCGCAGUUUGUUAUGCAAGUGCAGCAGACUCGAGAAUGGUUCAGGGAACUUGAUCUAUUCUUAGAUUGUGACUUGCCAACUUAUAAGGAAUCCAAACCACUGCUUACCGAGUGUUGCCCAGUAUCCUCUUUGUGUGUACAUAUUCAUGCGCUACUGAAAUAUGCUACAUGCACCGAUGAAGCCUCCAAUAAUAUGCAACAUCUCUUACGAGCAUUUGAGGGUUUUGACAUGCUGCUAAUGGAGUCAUUUAAUGAGCAAGCAAGUGAUGAGACCCUGAGGAGAAAAAUCAUUGUGGCCCUUCCAAUUUUAGACAAUCUUUUGCAAAGUAUGCUACCAACAAUGACUCCUGAAGAAAGAUACAGAGUAGGAAUAUUUGAACAGUAUGAGAAGUCAGGCUAUACGAAGAAGGACCACCAGUCGUUUGGCUCUAAUGCUGAGAAGGUUCGCCACAGCAAGAAGCGAAGCCAUGCUAAGAAAAGGACUCACAAGCAGCAGCAACAUAUUUUCAAGCGCAAUAACUUUGGGCGGGAUGUGGCUUUGAACCGCUGGCGGUACUUGGGCGGCUGCAUGCUGAUGUCUGUUGGUAUGUUGUCACUUUGCUGGAUGGUAUGGAAGAUCUUGUGGGAAAUGAUCUUGCAGGAGAUGCUAGCUUAGGGCUAUUACAAUGAUCAUAUAUAACAGUAAGAUCUAGUUAUCCUAGCCAGUUUCAUGAGCUAGCUACCUGAUUACUCUCUAUUACAAUGAUCGUAUACAACAGUAAGAUCUAGCGGAUGGCACUAGCUACUGAAGAAGAAUUAGCAUUGAUUAGGGCUGUGGGCGGAGUUGUAUGAUGGGCAGGGUUGGAGAUGAAUAUAUAGACAUACCUCUCGGGUCUUUUUUUACUUUCCAGGUUUGCUAUUUUUCAGUCGAUUGAAAAACAAUUCACUUCCAUUCAAAUUUGUGGCCAUCCAAACUCGUGCGGAGAUUCACGCUGGGCGAUGGUGCUUUCGGGCUGGUUUUGUCAUGUGGGCCGUUUUUCUUGGUGAGCACGUUACCAUCCGCUUCGGUACGCUGUUUUCCCCCUUCUGUUUCUGAAAUUUCAUUCCUCCACUUCCGUUUGAAAAGGGAGGGAGGGAGGGAGAGAGAGAGAGAGGGAGAGAGACGGAGGGAGAGAGGGAGAGGGAGGGAGGGAGGAAGAGCGAGAGAGAGAGAGGAGGGGGGAGAGGGAGAGAGAGAGAGUUUGUUUUAGAUCCCCCCUACUCAUUUGAUUUUGGGCUGGCCCUUUUGAUGUAGAUUUAGGUGGAGAUGCUCAGUCCCCUGGCCUUUUGAGUCUCCUUUAGAUUUAGAUUUUGUGUGGAUGUAGGUGUUUAGUUCCCCUCUGACUUUUGCGUUUCACAGUUUCAGUUUGUAUAAAGGGUGUUCAUGCUGACUGUCCCAAUGAUGUAGUGUUCAGUAGUAGCUGCUGGAAUGAGCUGUUAUAUUUUAGUAGCUUAGAAAUUCAGAUUGUGUAAUAUGCAUUUUUAGCGCUAUGUAAUUAGUGUUCAGGUAGGUAGGUAGUUUUCUCACUGCAUUUUACAGUUUGUUGUAUGCUUCCUAGUUAUUUGUAGUUGAUAUCCUCGUAUAUUUGAUGGCCAGGUGUUUUUGCCUUGUUUAUUUCUUUCAUUUGUUAUUUUCUUUUUCAUCAUGCUAGUGAGUUCAGAAGUUUGCAGUAUCUUUUAAAUUUGUAUCACCCUGGUGAGUUUCAUAAUUUUUCAAUAGUGCGAGUUCCAUAAGCAAGUAGCGCUAGUUCCAUUUGUUCCAAUAGUUUCCCAUAUUUAGUUUCUAUGCAUAAUUUUGCUUUACUAGGGUGUUUCUAGCUCACCCAGUUACUAUUGUGAAGUUUUUUUCUUCACUCUUUUUCUUGUGUAUCACGUAAUCUGCUUAUAGUAUCAGUUUAAUGGGUAGACUACGGAAGGUCUCUCAACAGGACGUUCCCGUACUAUCAUCUUUUGGCACUGCAGAUUCUUUCGAUAAACCUUUUUGUGCCCAAUGACUUCGCGGAUGAUGAUUCGUAUCAGUUAUAACGGGAACUAUCUGUAGAUCAUGGCAACUCUGACAAAGCUCUAUCUGAGUUCUCUAUGAAUCAU
Molecule: long non-coding RNA, 3283 nt
Organism: Aegilops tauschii subsp. strangulata
Lineage: Eukaryota; Viridiplantae; Streptophyta; Magnoliopsida; Poales; Poaceae
Source: RefSeq, a predicted model, not a curated record